Molecule: non-coding RNA, 49 nt
Filed under: Schistosoma margrebowiei
Lineage: Eukaryota; Metazoa; Platyhelminthes; Trematoda; Strigeidida; Schistosomatidae
Source: RNAcentral
AUCCAGCUGACGAGUCCCAAAUAGGACGAAACGCGCGUCUAAGCCGGAU